CCUAUUUCACCGACCAAGCAGGG
This 23-nucleotide unclassified non-coding RNA is filed under the name Mus musculus (house mouse). RNAcentral's name for it is "oocyte_clustered_small_RNA9366". Lineage: Eukaryota; Metazoa; Chordata; Mammalia; Rodentia; Muridae. The record is from RNAcentral.